CCACAUUAGUGUCUGGUCGGGGACAUGUACCAUCAACAAAGCCAAUUUUAUUCUUAGCAGACAGGGCGACAAUCAUUUUAUCCUCCAACCACAUAACCACUACCCGAGAAGGGAGUGGAGACAAGAAAACCUCCAGGAAUAUCAGAGGAGUAAACGAAAAGAGGGCUGGUAGGGUCAACAGAGGAUGUAUUAACGCUCAUGUUAGAAGUCAUGAACAGCAAUGAGUUUGAAAUAAAAAAAAACAGUCUCGGUAAACAAUUUGGAAAACUAGAGUUGAAUCAAAACCACAGCAAUAAGUUUGAAAAAAAAAAACAAUCGCGGUAAACAAUUUGGAAAAUUAGAGUUGAAUCAAAACCACAUGCAAAGCAUAUAGCACCUAGAACAAGAAUAGAUUUACCCGUCUUUUUCGCGACCGGAGAAGAACGGCCUUCAACUGACAGAGAAAACCCUAACUCCGAACAGCAGAAACCCUAAAACUUGAAAACUUACCGGAAUCAGGUCGAGGACGUCGGAAAGUUAUCCAAAACGUCCACCCAGGUAAGAUCGAACCAUCAUAUAGCGGUAAAAAUUUCGAUUGGCUGCUCGAUA
Molecule: long non-coding RNA, 588 nt
Filed under: Nicotiana benthamiana
Lineage: Eukaryota; Viridiplantae; Streptophyta; Magnoliopsida; Solanales; Solanaceae
Description: long non-coding RNA (NBEN_LNC031984)
Source: RNAcentral